CUUCCACCAAACCAUCUGCCAUUCAUCAACUCUAUACAUUUCUGAGCAUCCCUCCUAUCCUUGAAUCUUAUUAGAACCACACCUUGUGGAUGGUUUUCACAAACCUUAACUGAAUCCACAGGACCAAAUCUUGUGCAUUCCUCCUUGACAUCUGUUUCGAUUUCUGAAGCUAAAUUUUCAUCAGCCCUCAUUUCAGCAGGUGUGAACAUAAAACGGAGAAUAACAGUUGCAGGAAUUGAAAUUUUUGCAUCGUCUCGG
RNAcentral lists this unclassified non-coding RNA (258 nucleotides) under Hevea brasiliensis (rubber tree). The record is from RNAcentral. Lineage: Eukaryota; Viridiplantae; Streptophyta; Magnoliopsida; Malpighiales; Euphorbiaceae.